CCCACGGCCAUAUUAAUUUUUAAAAAAUGCAAAAAUUAGUUAGUUCUUAGAAAACUGCUCGUAACUUGAAAGCGCUUCGACUUUUGAUUGUGCAAGUUAGGCUAGGAAAAUAUACCAGUCAAAGAUCUACAAGAUGAUGCCCGAAUCGCUUACUAUCUCGAAGGAUUGGCUGUGAUCUGCUUCUGUCAAGCGCUACACAAGGUAUACUGGGUGUGGCUUAUAACCAGAGGCAGCUAUGUGUAAAAAGAAGCACUGGCAGUGGCAAAAAGGUGUGGCUGGAUCCAAUAAUCAGAGGUGGGGCCACGUAUGUACAGGAACAGUGGCAGUAGCAGCGAGGUACAAAUGUCUGUGUCUGUGGCUACUGCUGUCCGUGAGUACUUGCUGUCACUGCCCAGUGCCCCUUCGCCUCUGUCAAGAGUGGAAUACAUGAAAGGUUGACGUUCGUGGUAGGACUGUCACAACAGUGGUCAGCAGUAUUCCUCAGUGUCAUGUCCUAUCCAGAUCUACAUUUUUGCUAAUAAUAAAUUGUUGUAAUUAUUGUUGUAUUUGUGGUGAGUGAAGCUAUUUU
This is a long non-coding RNA of Halichondria panicea, 568 nucleotides long. RefSeq lists it as uncharacterized. The transcript has 5 exons. Lineage: Eukaryota; Metazoa; Porifera; Demospongiae; Suberitida; Halichondriidae. The record is from RefSeq and is a predicted model, not a curated record.